Long non-coding RNA from Sphaerodactylus townsendi, 431 nucleotides. RefSeq lists it as uncharacterized. The transcript has 4 exons. The record is from RefSeq and is a predicted model, not a curated record. NCBI's taxonomy places the organism in Eukaryota, Metazoa, Chordata, Lepidosauria, Squamata, Sphaerodactylidae.
ACUGCUGCUGCUCCACCGCCCGCUGCAGGAUCGCCUGUCCAGGAAGCCGACCCCACCGGCUCACCCCGCUUCUGAUAUGGCUUGGCGAGUCCGCUGCAGGCUGCCCAGUCCAGUCACCCACCUGAUCCCUCUUCAGGCUAGCUAAUCCAGGCACCCAUUCCACCCCUCUGCGGGCUCACCAAUCCAGGCACCCACCCCGCUCUGCUCCCAGUCUGGCUUGGUGAAACAGGAAUGCAACAGGAACAGAAGAUAAUGGAGGUGACCCACUGGCUGCAUUUGUGGUGCUGGCAAGAGCAAUUUGGAUUUCAAGACCACAAGGUCCACCAAGAAUGAUAAAAGGCCUUCCAUUCUGGAGACCAAAUUUAGAAGCUUGCUAUAAAAUAUUUUCCUGUACUUUGUCCAGAUUUUUAAUAAAGGAUAUCUGACAGUUA